Long non-coding RNA from Paramormyrops kingsleyae, 2652 nucleotides. RefSeq lists it as uncharacterized. Lineage: Eukaryota; Metazoa; Chordata; Actinopteri; Osteoglossiformes; Mormyridae. The record is from RefSeq and is a predicted model, not a curated record.
CAAAACUUCUGGUUUAGUUAUCGAAUGCAACGGUUUAUGGAUUUGAAACUGAUAUACAGAACCCAUAAUCCCAAGACAUACUCUGGAUACCUAAUGGUAUAGCCUAAAUAAAAAGUUUCCAACGACUUGGCCACGCUUAUUAUCGCCGAAUACUUGUGGUACUUGCUUGUAUAAGAUAUAUAAUAAAACCGACGAGCUUAUUUUCAUUGUACUGAAAGGAUCGAUUAUAUUAAAAUAAUAUUGUCUGUAAUACGAACUUCUAAAUUUAUAAAUUAAGAUAGGCUCACUAAAAAUAAUAAGGUUGAUAUCACCUUCCGUCCGUUCCCAUUUUUAGCCACCUGUUCCAUUUCCGUAGGUUGUAAUCUGAUAAUACGGUAACAGAUUUAAAAGGACACAUUCUAUGGAUGUGAACCAGUAACAUUAGUAUACCAUUUAAAAUACAGACUCGUGAAACUAAAGACCUACGGAUUAAACGGGAAACACAAUUUCAGAAUAAACAAAAAAAACAGACAGACGAGUUACUGGGGUACGGGUUGGUUUGUGUCCUCCUGCUUAAAGGAAACAAAUCAGUUAUGCAUUGAACCGUCUUUAUACUGUCUUUUCCAGAUAUAAUGUGGAUGAUGACCAAUAGAAGAUGCGUUGAUUGUAUGAAAGGGUACCGGGAUUACGACGCCAAACAUAGGGGCUGGGUUUAAUCUCUCCGUAUGACAUCACGAUAGUGUGGGCAGACACCACCCAUAUGUUUUCCAAUUACGGCAGCCAGCCAGCCGGUUCGACCGAAAAGUGCUGCAGGUCCGCCGCCGCUUCCGAUUGCGGCUUAAGUGCGGGGUGCGUUUCGCGCACUGUGAUGCACGAGCCAAGCGGUUGUGCAACAUCGGCAAGAGGCUCAAAUUGAAAGUACAACCAACAAAAAAAGGCUGCGGCCUACCAUCAUCGCCGGCACUGCAGGACGGGACCCAAGCCUGCCUCAGCUUUCCUCAAAUGCCAUCAGACGUCGGGCUACAGGGGCAGCGAUCCAGCACCUCGAAGUCCCUGAUUUUGCUCAGCCGUUUUGUACACGUCCUGUGGCACUGAUGUCACCAGUGGCUCUGAUUAUUGGUCCCCAUGUGCUUCAGCUGACUUUGCAUCUCUUAACUUGCCUGCUUGUCUGGAAGAAGCAUUUAUCAAAACCGUAUUACACUGGAUGAGCUCAAACGGCGGUUUGUUGAUGGUAAAGACGUAAUCCAGCAGGGUAUCGGUUCUUAUUUUUAAUAGGCGAGAUAACUGUGAGAUAAGAGGCCGUGACUGGAAAUUACCACGCGGUUUCAUUCAUUCUCACAGUAAGGAAGUGAGGAUACGUUCACUACCUCUAUUGUUCUCACAGUGACAAUAAGCAACACUGAUUCGAGUUACACUUACUAAGCCAAUUUGAUGACCUUCUUUGGCUCUUGCCGUUGCUCGGUCACUGCCAACAGGAAACUUGGGCUGUGAAAAUCAAUCUGUUGUCAUAACGACUGGACGGCGGACUGAAAACUGGUAACCGGCAGCCCCACGAUGCACUCACCUUGGGGCUGAGCGCCAACGAGAGAGUGUUCCCAGGGCCCCGCGGCAAAACACCCAUAACAAGGCAUCCCGAAAGACAACAGAACCUUCCACAAGACUCCUUCUCAAACAAUGGCAUCGGCAAGCAAACAAUACUUUGGCUGUCCAUCACCACUGAUUACGCACCUUAAAAUAAAAGGUCAGACAUUCCACUUAUCCACAAGUAGUCAACUUAUGCAGAAAUGCUUAAUGACACACAAUCACAUGUGGAAUGUUUAAGUCUUCAGCAUGUGGCCCAAGAAUUUAGCAUAAAUUUGCUUAGCAUGUAUAUCUACACGAUGGGAUGGUCGCUCACCUAUUUAGAUGGAAACUUGAGUGAAGCAGCCCCGGUUCGGGCUUGGGAUGCUGUGGCAGGAAAUCCACCUGAGCCUGGACCCUACAAUCUUCAGGUUAUGACCUCACUUCCUGGACUGCUAUGGUGCCCGGUGCCUCGCAGGUAAUUGGCUACAUUAUGGGCACAUCCAGUUCCCCAUUUCCCGCUCUCUGCGUCCCGAUUCACCCUCAGCCUUAGAGAAGGCAGCGAGCGGUCACACAUUCCAAGGUGACCGUCAACGGUGUGGGAUGGUGUUUAGCUAAGAGCUCCAUUCCCCCGCUCCUGCCUGACAUCACCACUGAGAUGAUGUCACUCACCGAGCUGGAACUGAUCAUCUGGAGAAAUGUAGUCACUCAGUCCACACAAUCAAGCAGCCCCCGAAGUCUCAUGCAGGGGUGACCAUGUCCUCUUCAUUACCGUCAUUAUGACAGGAGCAGUUAUCAAUUGUAAAUAGCCUUCAUUGAGUGAGCACAGCUACCUUUAGCUACCAUCCCAUUACCCUACAUGUCAUUCUUACCCUAUUUAUAAUAUCAACAUCGGUAGGGACCAAUCAGCUAUAACCCCCCCAUAACAUAAUUGGGACUACCACAAUGUUAGCAUUAAAAGUCGAUUGCACGAAUUUUAUACAAAGCAAUGCAAUCCAAGUGAAACACUGAUAGCCGUUUUUCUUCUCCAGUGCCUCAGUAAGUUUAAUAUAGCACUGUCAACGUAGGUUUAUUAUAUAUGCGGUUUAUUUUUAAGAAAUGACAUAUGUUACA